This 465-nucleotide ribosomal RNA is filed under the name Vreelandella stevensii. Its description in RNAcentral is "partial 16S ribosomal RNA". It matches the Rfam family "Bacterial small subunit ribosomal RNA", at positions 338 to 795 of the family's 1533-position model. The record is from RNAcentral. Lineage: Bacteria; Pseudomonadati; Pseudomonadota; Gammaproteobacteria; Oceanospirillales; Halomonadaceae.
CCUACGGGCGGCAGCAGUGGGGAAUAUUGGACAAUGGGGGGAACCCUGAUCCAGCCAUGCCGCGUGUGUGAAGAAGGCCCUCGGGUUGUAAAGCACUUUCAGUGAGGAAGAACGCCUGGUGGUUAAUACCCAUCAGGAAAGACAUCACUCACAGAAGAAGCACCGGCUAACUCCGUGCCAGCAGCCGCGGUAAUACGGAGGGUGCGAGCGUUAAUCGGAAUUACUGGGCGUAAAGCGCGCGUAGGUGGCUUGAUAAGCCGGUUGUGAAAGCCCCGGGCUCAACCUGGGAACGGCAUCCGGAACUGUCAAGCUAGAGGGCAGGAGAGGAAGGUAGAAUUCCCGGUGGAGCGGUGAAAUGCGGAGAGAUCGGGAGGAAAACCAGUGGCGAAGGCGGCCUUCUGGACUGACACUGACACUGAGGUGCGAAAGCGUGGGUAGCAAACAGGAUUAGAUACCCGUGUAGUC